GCUUACGGCCAUACCAACCUGGCUAUGCCCGAUCUCGUUGAUCUCGGAAGCUAAGCAGGUUUGGGCCUGGUUAGUACUUGGAUGGGAGACCGCCUGGGAUACCAGGUGCUGUAAGCU
RNAcentral lists this ribosomal RNA (117 nucleotides) under Carassius auratus (goldfish). Lineage: Eukaryota; Metazoa; Chordata; Actinopteri; Cypriniformes; Cyprinidae. The record is from RNAcentral.